RNAcentral lists this long non-coding RNA (579 nucleotides) under Mytilus galloprovincialis (Mediterranean mussel). Lineage: Eukaryota; Metazoa; Mollusca; Bivalvia; Mytilida; Mytilidae. The record is from RNAcentral.
AUGAUACUAAAACCCUAACGGGAAGGAUUGUGCCUGAUGUUCAUAUGAUGAAAUCAUAAUCUUUCAGUCAGUUUAAUUGAAGUCUGGAGCUGGCAUGUUAGUUAACUGCUAGUAGUCUGUUGAUAUUUAUGUAUUAUUGUCAUUUUGUUUAUUUUCUUUGGUUACAUCUUCUGACAUCAGACUCGGACUUCUCUUGAACUGAAUUUUAAUGUGCGCAUUGUUAUGCGUUUACUUUUCUACAUUGGUUAGAGGUAUAGGGGGAGGGUUGAGAUCUCACAAAUAUGUUUAACCCCGCCGCAUUUUUGCGCCUGUCCCAAGUCAGGAGCCUCUGGCCUUUGUUAGUCUUGUAUUAUUUUAAUUAUAGUUUCUUGUGUACAAUUUGGAAAUUAGUAUGGCUUUCAUUAUCACUGGACUAGUAUAUAUUUGUUUAGGGGCCAGCUGAAGGACGCCUCCGGGUGCGGGAAUUUCUCGCUACAUUGAAGACCUGUUGGUGACCCUCUGCUGUUGUUUUUUAUUUGGUCGGGUUGUUGUCUCUUUGACACAUUCCCCAUUUCCAUUCUCAAUUUUAUUACUGUUUAA